Molecule: ribosomal RNA, 373 nt
Filed under: uncultured bacterium
Lineage: Bacteria
Description: bacterial SSU rRNA
Rfam family: Bacterial small subunit ribosomal RNA
Source: RNAcentral
UGGGGAAUCUUGCACAAUGGGGGCAACCCUGAUGCAGCGACGCCGCGUGAGCGAUGAAGCCCUUCGGGGUGUAAAGUUCUUUCGACAGGAACGAUAAUGACGGUACCUGGAGAAGAAGCUGCGGCUAACUACGUGCCAGCAGCCGCGGUAAUACGUAGGCAGCGAGCGUUGUUCGGCGUUACUGGGCGUAAAGAGUGCGUAGGCGGCGAGCCAAGGUUGGUGUGAAAUCUCCCGGCUUAACCGGGAUGGUGCGCCGAAAACUGGUUGACUGGAGUAUGGGAGAGGAAAGCGGAAUGCCUGUUGUAGCGGUGAAAUGCGUAGAGAUCAGGAGGAACACCUGCGGUGUAGACAGCUUUCUAGACCAAAACUGACG